RNAcentral lists this long non-coding RNA (4788 nucleotides) under Sus scrofa (pig). Its description in RNAcentral is "lncRNA (ENSSSCG00000052808.1)". The record is from RNAcentral. Lineage: Eukaryota; Metazoa; Chordata; Mammalia; Artiodactyla; Suidae.
GCAUAUGGAGGUUCCCAAGCUAGGGGUCUAGUUGGAGCUGCUGCUGCCGGCCUACACCAGAGCCACAGCAACGCCAGACCGAGCCGCAUCUGCAACCUACACCACAGCUCACGGCAACACCAGAUCCUUAACCCACUGAGCGAGGCCAGGGAUCGACCCCGCAACCUUAUGGUUCCUAGUCAGAUUCGUUUCCACUGCACCAUGAUGGGAACUAAUUUCUAUUCUUUAUGUCCUAUAUAUAUAUGUAUAUAUAAAUACACACAAAUGCUUUUUUUCAUUCAUUUCUCAGUAGAGAGGGUCUAGAAUGUAGAGACUUUCCCCUGAGCAUCAGGGUAUUAAUAUUGCUGCAUCUAGGAGAAGAGAAAAAAGCAAAGGUGUUAGCUUCAGCGAUUUUCCUUUUGUCCUCUGUCCUCCAUGAUAAGCCUGAAUCCUGAACUGUCCAUGGUUCUGCCUGGCUGAUGAGCAUCCUUGCCAGCUGAAUCUACUCCCUCGGUUAUAACUGGACUGCUGGGUUGGGGAGCUAUCAUCCAGCCGCUCUCUGGCUUGCUUAAAUUUACUUAUGUGCUUCAGGUCUCAUUUAUUGUUUAUCAACACCCUCCCCCUUUUUGGUUACUCUUUAAUUUUAAUGACAUCGUUGGAAGAAGAGGAAAUAGAUGUGUAUGGUUCAACUAAAUGUUGACAUAGAUAAGGUUCAUUCAAGGAGCUAAAUGAAGUUUUUAGGGUUUUUUAAUAAUUUUUGAAGUUUUAUUUAAAUAAGUUGAUCAUUUCUACUGUACAACAAAGUGAUGCAGUUAUCCACAGAUACACAUCCAUUCUCUUUGAGAUUCUUUUCCCACACAGGUUAUCACAGACUAUUGGGUAGGAUUCCCUGUGCUGUACAGUAGGUCCCCAUUGGCCAAUCAUGCCACACCCUCAGUGAGCACAGGCCAGUCCCAGAGCCCCAGUCCAUCCCUCCCCCUACCACUGUGUCCUUUGGUAACCAUACAUUUUUCAAAGUCUGUGAGUCUGUUUCUGUUCUGCAAAUAAGUUUAUUUGUAUCCUUUUCAUUUUUUUUGAUUCCACAUCUCAGUGAUAUAUAAUGUUUGUCUUUCACUAACUUCACUUAGUAUGAUAAUUUCUAAGUCCGUCCAUGUUGCUGAAAAUGGCAUUAUUUCAUUCUUCUGAUGGCUGAGUAAUAUUCCAUUACAUAUAUGUACCACAUCUUCUUUAUCCAUUCCUCUGUAGAUGAACAUUUAGGUUGCUUCCAUGUCUUGGCUACUGUAAAAUAGUGGUGCAGUGAACAUAGGAUGCAUGUAUCUUUUCAAAUUAUGGUUUUCCCCGGAUAAGUGCCCAGGAGUGGGAUUGCUGGAUUUUAUAGAAGUUCUAUCUUUAGUUUUAGGAGGAACUUCCAUACUCUUUUCCACAGGGGUUGCACAAACUUACAUUCCCUCCAACAGUGUAAGAGGGUUCCCUUCUCUCCACAGAAAUAUAGAUCAAUGGAAAAGGAUAGAAAGCCCAGAAAUAACCCCAUGCACCUAUGGUCAACUAAUCUAUGACAAGGGGGGCAAGAAUGUACAACAGAGAAAAGACAAUCUCUUCAAUUAGUGGUGCUGGGAGAAGUGGACACCUACAUGCAAAAAAUGAAAUUAGAACACUCUCUGACACCAUUCACAAAAAUAUACUCAAAAUGGAUUAAAGACCUAAAUGUAAGACUGGACACUAUAAAUGAAGUUUUAACUGGGCAGGGCUAAGCUCAAACUAAGAAGACCUAAUGCAAGGUAAUGUGAUGAUCCGUCAAGAGAUGAUGAAAAUCUGAGCCAAGGUAUGGGCUUUGGAUGGAUGAAAAGGGAUAUGUUUUUGUUUUGCUUUUGAGGUUGAAUUUAGAAGAUAUUGUGACAUCUAAUUUUCAUAACUGGAUAGAUGAUAGCUCUUGAAAACAGGGAAGGCAGAAGGAAGAACGUAUUGAAGGAGAAGGUGAAGAAUUCAGUUUGGCCAUGUUAAGUCACACUGGGCCUCAUAGAAAGUUAAUGUUUUCCUGUGAAAGCUGAGCAUGUCAUAAAGAAAAAAAAGAUGACUCAGGCAAUGUUAUUGGAGAAAUGUUCAUAAUAGUAAUUUAUAAACCUUUUUGACUAUGACCCUGUACAAACACACACGCACACACACACACACAAAUACACAAGGUUUGAAAAAGCAUACCUUUAAGUUUGAUAUACUAUCAUCUUUUCUGUUAUUCAAUUUAAUGUAAAUAAUAUUCUAGUCAUAACCUACUAAAUUGAUUUAAUGACUCACCAGUAUAUCAUGAAAAAUAUUGGCCUACAAGGUAUGGCUGACUGCAGAUCUUCAGAUGAGAAUGCAAAUCAUAAAUAUGGCACCACAGCCAUCCAUCAAGAUUUUGCUCCAGGGAUUAAACUCUAUGUGUUUAGAAGAAAGCCUCAGUGUACAGUGAUACUAAUUGGAGAAAGAAGUUAUAUAUAAAGAGGCUGAGAUGUAACACUGUGAAUAAGAAAACAAAAAACUUCAAGGAAAGGACAAGGAAUGAAUGAGUAGCCAAAUUAUUUUCUUAGUAAGGAUCAUAGGAAACCUAUCAGAUUUGGACAACGUUGAAAUGACUCCUCAAGCAAACACACCAUGGCAAAAAGUGGAACUUGACCUUGGAAUCAAGAACAGGUGUCUGUGAAGUCUAUGCAGGCCUCGCCACUUGAAAUCAGGCUCCUGUACAGCUUCUUCUCUAUGGAGCUAAUGCUUUAAACAUUGCUGUGAAGGAUGCCCAUGCAUUUGGUCCUUUUCUGUGCAGUUAACUGUGGGUCCAUGAACAGCCUUGACAGUUUCUGGGCAAAUAUCUCUGUGAAGCAGGGCCUCUGAUGCACUCUCAACUUGAUUUGUUUUAUUUAGCACUCAUUUACUGAACACCUGUUAGAUGCAAGAUCACAGAAGAAUAUGGGGUAAAAAAAGAUAAAGCCUGCCCCCCAGACCCUCACAAUCCUGCUGGGAAGACAGAAACAGAUAACUCUGGAAACAGGCUGGCUAUGACAAAUGUCCUACUAGGCAUACGAAAGGCAGUAUGAGGUCAGAGAAAAGAAAAAUCAUUUCAACUCAGGAAGCAUAGCCUCCUUCUCAUCCUUCAUGUCUUUGCCCAGACAUCACCACCUCAGAGAAGCAUUCCCUGACCACUCUAGCUACAGCUUUGUGUGGUAACUCUCUGUUCAUUAGCCUGUUUGAUAUUCUUCACGGCAGUUCAUCUUAAGAAUUGUCUUUAUCUUGAUUUUUGUAACCACAAGUUAUUUGGAAAGAUGUGUCCAAGGCAUCAAUAUACAGUAGACAGAACAUUCCAAGCGAGGUUCCAAAGUUAAGUGAAAAAUAGCAAAGUGGAUGGGUAAAGGCCAGCUACACUGCCUUGUGCUCCUUACCAACAUUAAGGACGUGACAUUGUCAGGUCAUAACAAGGUUGGAGCAGGAUUUGUGCAAAGGCAUGGACCCUAGUGUGUAUUAGGCUGGUUGUGUUGUAGGGAUCUACUGCAGCAUAACAAGCCACCCCAAAACUUAGUGGCUAAAAACAACAUAUUAUUACCAUAUUCUGUGAUGAUGUAGGCCAGUAACUUAGACAAGGCACACUGGAGAAGUCUCAUAUCGGCUAAGCAGUGAAGUCUGAGGUCUCAGCUGGAAUAACAGCUGAGGGCCAACCAGGAAACAGUAUCUGUCUGUCAGUCUGUCUGUCUGUUUCUCCCUCCCUCAUCCCCAUCCCUCCAUGGGAUGGACUAGCAUGGGCUUCCUCUCUUUAUUUUCUUUCAUAAGAGAACAGGGAACAAAUACAAAAACUUGGUAUUUUUCCAUAUGGUUUCAUAGUUGACAAAGAGCCUUUGCCAGCAUAAUCUCCAGUGGUCAACACAACAGCAAGAGAUGAUUUAUCUAAUUCACAACUGAGGAUAUGGAGGUUCAGUGGGUGAAAGCAACUACAUCAAGGCAGGUGCUGGAACCGAGACUUGAACUAGCUCUUGUGUGUCCACUACCAGUGGUCCCCCUGCACCUAAGUAUUCCCUGUAUGGCUCCUUCUCAUCAUAUUCACUGAAGCCACACAGAGUCACACCCACUGAGUGUGCAGAAAGCAGCAGCACAUGGCUGGUUCAAGGCAGUGGAGACUCCCCAUUCUCUGGGGAGAUGCUGGCAAAUGUUGACCUUGAGAAAAUCAUGGCUCCAGCCAGAGGAAAAGGUAUCAGCAUUCAUAGGGGGAAUCCGAAUGAGGAGCGAGGUAACUGCUGGGUUUAAUACUGUGCACACAUUUCUCAUGAAUAUGCAAAUGUGGCUGGUACCAGAAGCAGGAGGCGAAUAACAUUUACUAAACAGCAGUGUUAAGCCACUCUGAAAGGGGUGUGUCAGGAGCAUGGUAAUGAAAUUAAUCCUCUUCACCUGUGAAUUACCAGGGGCUUUGGGUUCCAUCCAAAAAUGUCUGACUUGCAUUUGCUUUGCUUAGAGCCUCUUGUGUAAACUUGAUCUUAAUGAAGAAUGAAGCUUCAGAAACCGAUACAAAAUAGGAAGUGGCAAAAGACAGUAUUGUAAAUUUGUACUUUUAAAGGACAACAGAAUAAGGGGACUUCAGUUGUACCUGUUCAUCUAGGAUGACUAUUCUGGGGCAUCUUAACAGCCAGUGUGGACAGCUCUCAAUUGAUUUAUUAAACAAGAAGACUGAUAAUUGCAAAGACAGCCAGAGUGAUUAGAUGAAGCCUCACAUUGUCUGGCAGAAAGCUCUAUAGAGAAGAUAUUGGGGUUGACUAUUCAGUCUCUCCUGCAGCAGAUAAACCUAAAGUCUGUCUC